UCCACGCCGUAAACGAUGUCAACUAGCCGUUGGGUCUAUUUAUAGACUUAGUGGCGGAGCUAACGUAUUAAGUUGACCGCCUGGGGAGUACGGCCGCAAGGUUAAAACUCAAAUGAAUUGACGGGGGCCCGCACAAGCGGUGGAGCAUGUGGUUUAAUUCGACGCAACGCGAAGAACCUUACCAGGUCUUGACAUCCUAGAAACUUAGCAGAGAUGCUUUGGUGCCUUCGGGA
RNAcentral lists this ribosomal RNA (233 nucleotides) under uncultured bacterium. RNAcentral describes it as "partial 16S ribosomal RNA". It matches the Rfam family "Bacterial small subunit ribosomal RNA", at positions 794 to 1025 of the family's 1533-position model. The record is from RNAcentral.